UACUGUUUUACGUUUAUCUAAAAUAAUGAUAACAGUAGAAUCAACAGUGGCGCCAUCAACAACAUUAAUGCCAAUGAAAAUAUCAACAAAAAUAGUAACCAAUAAUAAUUAUUACGUCGUGGUACAAUAACAAUAAUAAUUUACCAAUUCCAUUAAAUAAUGAAAUUCAAAUACGUUUCCAAUUCUAUAGAAGCAUUUCAAUAAAUUAUACCAUGAAUACUAAUCACACCAUAAACGUUAAACGAUCAUUAAUUACGUUUCUGACGAAACCUUUACCUUCUUCUCAUAUGUUCACACGUAAACGCAUUCAGCUAAUCACCGAACGAAAACCAACAACAUAGAAACAACAUAAACGUUAAACAACGAAUAGGAUGUUGAGGGUAGAAUUUGAAUGGAGAACUGUUAGGCGUGGUAGGAACCCAAUAAUAGGAGUUGAUGGACCAAAAAAAAAAAAAAAUACACAAAAAAGAAGAAAAA
Long non-coding RNA from Osmia lignaria (orchard mason bee), 477 nucleotides. RefSeq lists it as uncharacterized. NCBI's taxonomy places the organism in Eukaryota, Metazoa, Arthropoda, Insecta, Hymenoptera, Megachilidae. The record is from RefSeq and is a predicted model, not a curated record.